UUAAAACCAGGUGUGCUGGAGCACUGUGGGUCAGCAGUCAUGCAAACAAAAGUACACACCUGCCAACUCAUGAACGUUAUUUGCACUACAACUAAGUUAUUUUUAAAAUACCUCCGCAAUGUUGUCCCCGUCGGUGGUCUUCUUGGAGGAUGCGGAUGAAGCUCGACUAGCCGCCAUGGUGGCUAAAAGCCGAGUGUUACCUGCUAACAAAGCCACCGUGUCUGCUCGGCCUUCAUGUCGCCUCAACACCCUCGAUAACCGGCCUCCAAGUUGUUGACCUAUGGACUCGGCGCUAACACACACCCGCUGCAAGGGUCCCAAGUUGAAACCGCAGGAGUCCCGGUUGUGGCGGAGGUGCGUCGACGAUGGUUCCGGUUGUUGUCCCCCGAGUUUGCAGAUUCUGAUGGUGACGAUGUGAGCGACCUUGGCAGCGAAAAUCGAAGUUCUAGAGAUUGAGGCUUCAUCACACGCUUGUGAACGGAGGAGGAGGAAGCUUGAUGAAGAUGGACGGCCCUUAGGGGAAGUGUGAGCUCCGUCCUCGAGUGACCGGCAGAAGCGAGCAUUGAAGUGGACAAUUGUUACUGGCGCAGGUGCCUUGAAGAAGCGACAAGGAUCCCCUGCCAACAGGAGUGCUGCAUGGAGGCGACCUACAGCAUGUCCGAUUCCUGCCACCAGGGGCGCCCUACAGAGGCAUCAAGCAGUCCCCGUCACCAAGAGAGAGUUGCAUGGAGGUGGCCGACAGAACAAGUGAUACCUGCUGCUGGCGGUGUCUUGAGGUGUCGGGCAACCCCCACAGUCAAGGCCACUGCAGGGAGACCAUAUGCUUGCUAACUCUCCCGACCUUCAACUGCUGCCACCCACAACACUGGAGACAUCAAGGCCGAGAGGAACAGCUCCACAGACCUGGAGGACAGUGAUAAUGAAGACGUGGUUCGCCAAGCCACCACCACACAGGCGGGGGCCACUGCUCCGAGGCAGUUGUACUGCAGCCAGCUGGGGAGCCGGUACGUCCUGGUGGCAAUGGUCUCUCUUAGGAAGUGGCUUGAAGCCUACGUCGUCCCCAACUAGCGUGUCACCACCAGCACUGAGCACCCAGUAAAUGAUGUACAGCUGGUUUGGUCCGCCAGGGGAGCUGCACAGCGACCAGGGCGGAACGUCAAGGCCUGGGUCUUCAGCGAGGUAUUAUGUCAGUGUUAGGAUUGGUGUAUCGUAUUCAUGCCUUACCUUUUAUCUGUAGAUUUAUAUUUGUAUGUACUAUAUCAUUCACGUGUAAACACACCCUAAAUUAUUGCACCUUUUCCAUACAGCCCCACCCAAUUCAGAAGAGACCAUGUAAGCUUCUCAAAAUAUACAAUUUAUUUCAAAAGUGUGAAUGCCACCGUCAAUAUUUUCCAGUAAUUACAAACCUUACCUUAUCCUUCCAAACAUGUAGGUGAAUGACACAUGUUUAACAGGUGCUUGUUAUCCCUUUUGGGGCCACUUCUAAUGAUACUUUACAAACUGGACAUGAAAUCUCAAUGCAUUUUUAUUGCAGCAGCUAGAACAGACAAGCUCAGUUGGACCUCCGCUAGUUUCAAGUGGACUCAUUGAACAAACAAAAAACAAGCAUGAAUAAGGACUAACAUGAAAAGAUGAACAAUAACACUGACACCUGAGCAGGGUUUACACUGUGGGAUUAGCCAUAUGGAUCGUUAAAUUCUCCUAUGUUACUCAGUCAGGUUCCAUUUAUUUUCAUUAAGACACAAACAACAGACUUGAAUGCAGCUGACGGGAACAGAUGACCAGACACGUACAAUCAUAUUUACAAAUUCAUAUUUACAAAUAAUAGACACUGUACAAGGGCUUACAAGGGAGGUUGAAUUGUGUGUUAAACAAAAUCGGGAAGAAAUAAAACCUUUCGACGGAAGACUCUUUGGCACUGGUGAGGAGAUGAGGCAACAUACAGUUAAAUGUCAGGGCCAAUGUGCUUAUUGGGUGUCUCAUUGGGGUGGGGGGGGACAUGCUAACACUGUCAAUCAUAGUGAUGGAGUCACGUGCUGUGAAGCACUGAACACUUCACUUCUCAUAUCAGAAGGUGCUUUCUCAUCUUGUAUCACAGUCACACGCCAUCUGCAGUAAUAAAUAAUGUAGGAACCAUGAUGCUUUCUAAUAUCAUAAAUAAAUGUACAGUCAACAACGCUCCGAGUGAAUGAUUCAUAAAUAGAAAUGUCAGUUGGAGUUCUGACAGUAUAAAAAGGGACGGUGAGUGUCCAAGUACACUUCCUGAACGUUAUAAUACUUGUUUUUUUUUUUUUUAAUGGCAUUCCUUCCCUUUGAUAUACAGGCUACCUUCAUAGCUAUUUUUGCUGAAUUUGCUUCCUGACUUUUCUUCUGUUGAAAAAGCACAACAAUGACAUUCGAAUGAAAUCUCGAACAGAACUUCAAUCGUGUACCUUGAAUUCUUCCUCAUCCAUCUUUUGGAUUUAGGGUGCACAAGGCCAGAGAAACAAGUGUAUCAACAGGAAUUUUAACCCAUAGACUCAUUUUAAUUUACAGCCUGCCUUCUUCUGAGGAAUUCAGUUGUGUUUUAGGCUGCGUUCACACUUGUGGUUCGGUACCAAAGACUUGACUGAGCAGCUUUCGUGACAUAACUCAAACACCCCAAACCAAAAUCGCAUCUGCUAGGUUGAAUAUAUAGCUUAUUUUUAUAUUUUGCUAUGCAGUCGCAGUGGUUUCGGUCGAGGACCACCUGUGAAUGGCCAAAAAAAUGGCGAGUAAUAGAUUCGCCCAUAAACUAUAUGCUUGAGACAUGGCUUACUCCCCCCUCCCAACUCCUCCAAACGUUCUCCAUUUUCGGAUCAACAUUUGCAACAAGUCUGAUUGGAAUUAUUAGAUUUGAUUCAGCUCCAGAACCCUCACCUUCUCUCUUCAAUUGCCAUUGCUAACUUGUGACACAAUCUAGGUUUACGCGGCAGUUUGUGUUCUAUUUGGGGGAUCUUUUUAAGCUGUGGCAGCAUCUGAGAAAUCUAUAAGCAAGUUUCACGUUUGCAUCUCAGCACACAACGAUGGUGCAUUCAGAAACCACCGAACAAAGUAUG
Dunckerocampus dactyliophorus (ringed pipefish) is the source of this 3077-nucleotide long non-coding RNA. RefSeq lists it as uncharacterized. The transcript is spliced from 3 exons. The record is from RefSeq and is a predicted model, not a curated record. NCBI's taxonomy places the organism in Eukaryota, Metazoa, Chordata, Actinopteri, Syngnathiformes, Syngnathidae.